Myotis daubentonii (Daubenton's bat) is the source of this 451-nucleotide long non-coding RNA. RefSeq lists it as uncharacterized. NCBI's taxonomy places the organism in Eukaryota, Metazoa, Chordata, Mammalia, Chiroptera, Vespertilionidae. The record is from RefSeq and is a predicted model, not a curated record.
AUUUUCUUUAUUAUGCCCUGGAGGUUCCAACAAAAAGUCAUUACUGUGAUUUGGUGGUAACAUAUUCAUUGCCAUAUCAUUUGAUUGCCAGGGAUACUGUGGAGCAAGGACAUCUAGAGAAAAGAAAGAAGCACAUGUUCCUGCCUGCAAGAGAGAUAAAAGCCUCAAGACAAAGGACCCAGCACUGGCUCUCCUUCCUAGAGGCACACCAGAACCUCCCCACUUCUUCUUCUUCCACAGGAAUGCAUCUCCUAAACUCUAAGGGAUCCCAGGAGGCUUUCAACCACGGCAGCAAUGGGCAGCAGCAGUUCGUCCCAGGCAACCCCUUGAACCUGUCCCCAAGACCCCCAUUUCUCUGAUUUCUUAGCCAAAGCAGACCAGCCUAGGCUCAUUUCCCCAGUUCUUUCUUGUUUCACUCCCAAGCUUUAUUAAAUGUCCUCUAAAAUUCAAA